CCUACGGGCGGCUGCAGUGAGGAAUAUUGGUCAAUGGGCGCGAGCCUGAACCAGCCAAGUAGCGUGAAGGAUGACUGCCCUACGGGUUGUAAACUUCUUUUAUAAAGGAAUAAAGUGAGGCACGUGUGCCGUUUUGUAGGUACCUUAUGAAUAAGGAUCGGCUAAUUCCGUGCCAGCAGCCGCGGUAAUACGGAGGGUGCAAGCGUUACCCGGAAUUAUUGGGGGUAAAGGGAGCGUAGGCGGGAUAGCAAGUGUGAUGUGAAAUCCUAUGGCUUAACCAUAGAACUGCAGUUGAAACUGUUAUGCUUGAGUGUGGGGGACGUAUGUGGAAUUCGUGGUGUAGGGGUAAAAUGCGUAGAGAUCAAGAAGAAUACUCAUUGCGAAGGCGGCCUGCUGGAGCAUUACUGACGCUGAUGCGCGAAAGCGUGGGGAGCGAACAGGAUUAGAUACCCUUGUAGUC
RNAcentral lists this ribosomal RNA (460 nucleotides) under uncultured bacterium. Its description in RNAcentral is "partial 16S ribosomal RNA". It matches the Rfam family "Bacterial small subunit ribosomal RNA", at positions 338 to 795 of the family's 1533-position model. The record is from RNAcentral.